Long non-coding RNA from Pipistrellus kuhlii (Kuhl's pipistrelle), 147 nucleotides. RefSeq lists it as uncharacterized. The record is from RefSeq and is a predicted model, not a curated record. The transcript has 2 exons. Lineage: Eukaryota; Metazoa; Chordata; Mammalia; Chiroptera; Vespertilionidae.
UUUCUUUCACCAGGUAGGGGAAGUUUUCUGUCACUAUUUCUUCAAAUAGGUUUUCAAUUUCCUGCUCUCUUCUUCCAGCACCCUCAUGAUAUGAAUGUUGGUAUGCUUGAAGUUGUCCCAGAGGCUCCUUACACUUGCCUCAUUUUU